AAGGCGACGAUCGGUAGCUGGUCUGAGAGGACGAUCAGCCACACUGGGAUUGAGAACGGCCCAGACUCCUACGGGGGGCAGCAGUGAGGAAUUUUCCGCAAUGGGCGCAAGCCUGACGGAGCAACGCCGCGUGCAGGAGGACGCUUUUCGGAGUGUAAACUGCUUUUCUGUGGGAAGAGAAUGGACGGUACCACAGGAAGAAGCCCCGGCUAACUACGUGCCAGCAGCCGCGGUAAUACGUAGGGGGCGAGCGUUGUCCGGAGUUACUGGGCGUAAAGGGCAUGCAGGCGGUCGUACGCGUUUUGUGUGACAGCGGGUGGCUUAACUACCCGAGUAUGCGAAAGACGGUAUGACUUGAGGGCUCGAGAGGGACACGGAAUUCCGGGUGGAGUGGUGAAAUGCGUAGAGAUCCGGAGGAACACCGAAGGCGAAGGCAGUGUCCUGGCGAGUGACUGACGCUGAGGUGCGAAAGCUAGGGGAGCGAACGGGAUUAGAUACCCCGGUAGUCCUAGCCGUAAACGAUGACCACCAGGUGUGGGAGGUAUCGACCCCUUCCGUGCCGGAGUUAACACACUAAGUGGUCCGCCUGGGGAGUACGGUCGCAAGAUUAAAACUCAAAGGAAUUGACG
RNAcentral lists this ribosomal RNA (629 nucleotides) under uncultured bacterium. Its description in RNAcentral is "SSU rRNA". It matches the Rfam family "Bacterial small subunit ribosomal RNA", at positions 270 to 915 of the family's 1533-position model. The record is from RNAcentral.